GUUGAUUCAUUAGCAUUGAACUCAUGGCCAAUAGCACUUUAGCUCAUGCCAGAAUGAAACUUAUCUAACACGUGUGUUUUUUCCAUUACGCCACACAUCACAGCCUUCUUACACUUAGGAACAGUAGGCAGCUUUUCAACACCACACUUGGGGGCCAUAUUAAACAGCAAAACACCCAGCCAAAAAAAAGCACAAAAAUGAGAAAAAUGUGGCACUAAAUGGACCAGGGAGAUGAACACUUCUUAACGCUGUGAACGUUGAGACAAGAAGGCGCAGAGCGAUGGCUUGCUCUGUGUCAGCUGGAAACACGUGUGCUGGGAGACUCAAGAUUUCUCACCACUCUGUGCAUGUCCACAGAUGACUACAACAGUUGCUGUGCCAGAGGUGCAUGUGAGAAAACCAGGCUGCCUUGUCUGCUCAAUAGAUGGCAGGGCCGAGUGGUUGCACAGCUCAGGAGGAGGCACUGGCCAUCUUUUUGCAAAAUGCAGCAUCCCUGGGCAGAAAGCCUGCAUUCGCGAUGGUGACGAUAAUUUCAUGGAUGGGUAUUCAUUUGAUGCUGUUUAUUGUCUCCCCUGAACCGGCUGGAAUGUGAACUCCAUGAGGAAUUGUAUGUCUGCUUUCAUGGCUGUAUCCUCAGUGCUUGGAGCAGAGUAGGCAGCAGCUGACAGAAGGCACUUGUGGUAGGCAGAACAAGGGCCCCCAGAGUUGUCCAAGUGCUGAUCUCUGAAACUGACUAUGUUACCUUACCUGGUCUUCUGCUUCUUGGGCUUUGCUGAUGUGAUUAAAUUAAGGGUUUUGAGAUGGGGAAAUCUUCCUGGAUUAUCUGGGUCAAUAUAAUCAUGAGGGACCAUAAAGGUGAGGAAGCAGGAGGGCAGAGUUGAAGAGGAUGCGAUGAUGGAAGCAGAGGUGGGAAUGAUGCAAUUGCUGGAAGGGUCCAUGAGCCAAGGAAUGUGGACAACCUCCCAAAGCUGAGAUAGGCAAGGAAAUGGUUUUUCCUUUGGAGGCUCCAGAAGGACUACUAACCUGGCACCCUAUUUUAGACUUCUGACCUCCAGAACUAUAAGAAAAUAAAUUUGUGUUGCUUUAA
Molecule: long non-coding RNA, 1087 nt
Organism: Mustela lutreola (European mink)
Lineage: Eukaryota; Metazoa; Chordata; Mammalia; Carnivora; Mustelidae
Exons: 3
Source: RefSeq, a predicted model, not a curated record